AGCGGAAAGGGUGGGCAAAAGUGUCGCCAACCCGGUCAGGUCCGGAAGGAAGCAGCCGUAACGAUUCCUUUUGGGUCGCCCUUUCUACUUAA
RNAcentral lists this signal recognition particle RNA (92 nucleotides) under Alphaproteobacteria bacterium. Its description in RNAcentral is "signal recognition particle sRNA small type". It matches the Rfam family "Bacterial small signal recognition particle RNA". From Rfam's summary of the family: The signal recognition particle (SRP) is a universally conserved ribonucleoprotein involved in the co-translational targeting of proteins to membranes. Archaeal SRP consists of a 7S RNA and homologues of the eukaryotic SRP19 and SRP54 proteins. Lineage: Bacteria; Pseudomonadati; Pseudomonadota; Alphaproteobacteria. The record is from RNAcentral.